RNAcentral lists this ribosomal RNA (253 nucleotides) under uncultured bacterium. RNAcentral describes it as "partial 16S ribosomal RNA". It matches the Rfam family "Bacterial small subunit ribosomal RNA", at positions 524 to 776 of the family's 1533-position model. The record is from RNAcentral.
UACGUAGGGUGCAAGCGUUAAUCGGAAUUACUGGGCGUAAAGCGUGCGCAGGCGGUUUUGUAAGUUUGUCGUGAAAGCCCCGGGCUCAACCUGGGAAUUGCGAUGAAGACUGCAAGGCUUGAAUCUGGCAGAGGGGGGUAGAAUUCCACGUGUAGCAGUGAAAUGCGUAGAGAUGUGGAGGAAUACCGAUGGCGAAGGCAGCCCCCUGGGCCAAUACUGACGCUCAUGCACGAAAGCGUGGGGAGCAAACAGG